RNAcentral lists this ribosomal RNA (512 nucleotides) under uncultured bacterium. RNAcentral's name for it is "bacterial SSU rRNA". It matches the Rfam family "Bacterial small subunit ribosomal RNA", at positions 28 to 526 of the family's 1533-position model. The record is from RNAcentral.
GACGAACGCUGGCGGCGUGCUUAACACAUGCAAGUGGAGCGACGAACCGGGGCUUGCCCCGGGGCAGAGCCGCGAACGGGUGAGUAACACGUGGGUAACCCACCUCGAUGACCGGGACAACCCGAGGAAACUCGGGCUAAUACCGGAUGUGAUCCUCUUCCGCAAGGAAGUUGAUGAAAGAUAGCUUCGGCUUUCGCAUCGAGACGGGCCCGCGGCCCAUUAGCUUGUUGGUGGGGUAACGGCCUACCAAGGCUUCGAUGGGUAGCUGGUCUGAGAGGACGAUCAGCCACACUGGGACUGAGACACGGCCCAGACUCCUACGGGAGGCAGCAGUGGGGAAUCUUGCGCAAUGCGCGAAAGCGUGACGCAGCAACGCCGCGUGGGGGAAGACGGCCUUCGGGUUGUAAACCCCUUUCAGUUGGGACGAAGCUUCGACGGUGAACAGCCGGCUGGAGUGACGGUACCUUCAGAAGAAGCCCCGGCUAACUACGUGCCAGCCGCCGCCGUAACAC